This 497-nucleotide ribosomal RNA is filed under the name uncultured bacterium. Its description in RNAcentral is "partial 16S ribosomal RNA". It matches the Rfam family "Bacterial small subunit ribosomal RNA", at positions 28 to 507 of the family's 1533-position model. The record is from RNAcentral.
GAUGAACGCUGGCGGCGUGCCUAAUACAUGCAAGUCGAGCGAACGCACGAGAAUCUUGCUUCUCUCAUGUGAGCAGCGGACGAGUGAGUAACACGUGGAUACCCUACCUAUAAGACUCAGAUAACUUCGGGAAACCGAAGCCAAUACCGGAUAAUAUUUUGAACGGCAUGGUUCAAAAGUGAAAGACGGUCUUGCUGUCACGUAUAGAUGGAUCCGCGCUGCAUUAGCUACUUGGUAAGGUAAAGGCUUACCAACGCGACGAUGCAUAGCAGACCUGAGAGGACGACCGGCCACACUGGAACUGAGACACGGCCCAGACUCCUACGGGAGGCAGCAGUUGGGAAUAUUCGACAAUGGGCGAAAGCCUGACCGAGCCAGGCCGCGUGAUUGAUGAAGGCCUUCGGAUCGUAAAACACUGUUAUUAGGGAUGAAAAUAUUUGUACGAAACUGUGGAGAUCAUGACGGUACCGAAUCAGAAAGCCCCGGCUAACUACGUG